Non-coding RNA from Potamilus streckersoni, 73 nucleotides. The record is from the annotation of a GenBank genome assembly. NCBI's taxonomy places the organism in Eukaryota, Metazoa, Mollusca, Bivalvia, Unionida, Unionidae.
GCUCCAGUGGCCUAGUGCUUAGAGCGUCCGCCUCAGAUGCGAGAGGUCGCGGGUUUAAACCCCAGCCGAGUCA